RNAcentral lists this ribosomal RNA (429 nucleotides) under Fusobacteriota bacterium. RNAcentral describes it as "Fusobacteria bacterium partial 16S ribosomal RNA". It matches the Rfam family "Bacterial small subunit ribosomal RNA", at positions 355 to 776 of the family's 1533-position model. Lineage: Bacteria; Fusobacteriati; Fusobacteriota. The record is from RNAcentral.
UGGGGAAUAUUGCACAAUGGGCGCAAGCCUGAUGCAGCCAUGCCGCGUGUAUGAAGAAGGCCUUCGGGUUGUAAAGUACUUUCAGCGUGGCGGAAGGGAGUAAAGUUAAUACCUUUGCUCAUUGACGUUACCCGCAGAAGAAGCACCGGCUAACUCCGUGCCAGCAGCCGCGGUAAUACGGAGGGUGCAAGCGUUAAUCGGAAUUACUUGGCGUAAAGCGCACGCAGGCGGUUUGUUAAGUCAGAUGUGAAAUCCCCGGGCUCAACCUGGGAACUGCAUCUGAUACUGGCAAGCUUGAGUCUCGUAGAGGGGGGUAGAAUUCCAGGUGUAGCGGUGAAAUGCGUAGAGAUCUGGAGGAAUACCGGUGGCGAAGGCGGCCCCCUGGACGAAGACUGACGCUCAGGUGCGAAAGCGUGGGGAGCAAACAGG